Molecule: transfer RNA, 82 nt
Filed under: Smittium megazygosporum
Lineage: Eukaryota; Fungi; Kickxellomycota; Harpellomycetes; Harpellales; Legeriomycetaceae
Rfam family: tRNA
About the family: Transfer RNA (tRNA) molecules are approximately 80 nucleotides in length. Their secondary structure includes four short double-helical elements and three loops (D, anti-codon, and T loops). Further hydrogen bonds mediate the characteristic L-shaped molecular structure. tRNAs have two regions of fundamental functional importance: the anti-codon, which is responsible for specific mRNA codon recognition, and the 3' end, to which the tRNAs corresponding amino acid is attached (by aminoacyl-tRNA synthetases). tRNAs cope with the degeneracy of the genetic code in two manners: having more than one tRNA (with a specific anti-codon) for a particular amino acid; and 'wobble' base-pairing, i.e. permitting non-standard base-pairing at the 3rd anti-codon position.
Source: Rfam by way of RNAcentral
GGUAUCUUGGCCGAGCGGUCUAAGGCGCCGCACUCAAGUUGCGGUCUCGAAAGAGGCGUGAGUUCGAAUCUCACAGAUAUCA